CUAUAGCCCACCCGUUUUUUGUCCAUUUUUCCGCUGGGGGGUCUUGGCACCUCCACCUUCGGGGGCUAAUUUUUGGGCGCGGCUGUACCCGUGGCCUAUUUUUGGCACAUGAGGGCCACCCGCAAAGUCUGGGGCCAUUCCGAGUCCGGCGGACGAACUUCGCCCACGCCCCCCACCAAGGCUAUAGCCCACCCGUUUUUUGGCCAUUUUUCCGCUGGGGUGUCUUGGCGCCCCGACCUUCGGGGGCUAAUUUUUGGGCGCGGCUGUGCCCGUGGCCUAAUUUUGGCACACGGAGGCCGCCCGCAAAGUCUGGGGCCAUUCCGAGUCCGGCGGACGAACUUCGCCCACGCCCCCCACCAAGGCUAUAGCCCACCCGUUUUUUGACCAUUUUUCCGCUGGGGGGUCUUGGCACCUCCACCUUCGGGGGCUAAUUUUUGGGCGUGGCUGUGCCCGUGGCCUAUUUUUGGCACACGAGGGCCACCCGCAAAGUGUGGGGCCAUUCCGAGUCCGGCGGACGAAGUUCGCCCACGCCCCCCACCAAGGCUAUAGCCCACCCGUUUUUUGGCCAUUUUUCCGCUGGGGGGUCUUGGCACCUCCACCUUCGGGGGCUAAUUUUUGGGCCCGGCUGUGCCCGUGGCCUAUUUUUGGCACACGGAAGCUGCCCGCAAAGUCUGGGGCCAUUCCGAGUCCGGAGGACGAACUUCGCCCACGCCCCCCACCAAGGCUAUAGCCCACCCGUUUUUUGGCCAUUUUUCCGCUGGGGGGUCUUGGCACUUCCACCUUUCGGGGCUAAUUUUUGGGCCCGGCUGUGCCCGUGGCCUAUUUUUGGCACACGGAAGCUGCCCGCAAAGUCUGGGGCCAUUCCGAGUCCGGAGGACGAACUUCGCCCACGCCCCCCACCAAGGCUAUAGCCCACCCGUUUUUUGGCCAUUUUUCCGCUGGGGGGUCUUGGCACUUCCACCUUCGGGGGCUAAUUUUUGGGCGCGGCUGUGCCCGUGGCCUAUUUUUGGCACACGAGGGCCGCCCACAAAGUCUGGGGCCAUUCCGAGUCCGGCGGAGGAACUUCGCCCACGCCCCCCACCAAGGCUAUAGCCCACCCAUUUUUUGGCCAUUUUUCGCUUGGGGGUCUUCGCUCCCCGACCUUCGGGGUUUAAUUUUUGGGCGCGGUUGUGCCCGCGGCUUAUUUUGGCACACGGAGCCCCCCCGCAAAGUCUGGGCCAAUUCGGAGUCCGGCGGACGAACUUCGCCCGCUCCCCCCACCAAGGCUAUAGCCCACCCGUUUUUUGGCCAUUUUUCCGCUGGGGGGUCUUGGCGCCCCGACCUUCGGGGGCUAAUUUUUGGGCGCGGCUGUGCCCGUGGCCUAAUUUUGGCACACGGAGGCUGCCCGCAAAGUCUGGGGCCAUUCCGAGUCCGGCGGACGAACUUCGCCCACGCCCCCCACCAAGGCUAUAGCCCACCCGUUUUUUGACCAUUUUUCCGAUGGGGGGUCUUGGCACCUCCACCUUCGGGGGCUAAUUUUUGGGCGCGGCUGUGCCCUUGGCCAAUUUUUGGCACACGAGGGCCACCCGCAAAGUGUGGGGCCAUUCCGAGUCCGGCGGACGAAGUUCGCCCACGCCCCGACCAAGGCUAUAGCCCACCCGUUUUUUGGCCAUUUUUCCGCUGGGGGGUCUUGGCACCUCCACCUUCGGGGGCUAAUUUUGGGGCGCGGCUGUGCCCGUGGCCUAUUUUUGGCACACGAGGGCCACCCGCAAAGUCUGGGGCCAUUCCGAGUCCGGCGGACGAACUUCGCCCACGCCCCCCACCAAGGCUAUAGCCCACCCGUUUUUUGGCCAUUUUUCCGCUGGGGGGUCUUGGCAGCCCGACCUUCGGGGGCUAAUUUUUGGGCACGGCUGUGCCCGUGGUCAAUUUUUGGCACACGGAGGCCGCCCGCAAAGUCUGGGGCCAUUCCGAGUCCGGUGGACGAACUUCGCCCGCGCCCCCCACCAAGGCUAUAGCCCACCCGUUUUUUGGCCAUUUUUCCGCUGGGGGGACUUGGCGCCCCGACCUUCGGGGACUAAUUUUUGGGCGCGGCUGUGCCCGUGGCCUAUUUUUGGUACACGGAGGCCGCCCGCAAAGUCUGGGGCCAUUCCGAAUCCGGCGGACGAACUUCGCCCACGCCCCCCACCAAGGCUAUAGCCCACCCGUUUUUUGUCCAUUUUUCCGCUGGGGGGUCUUGGCACCUCCACCUUCGGGGGCUAAUUUUUGGGCGCGGCUGUGCCCGUGGCCUAUUUUUGGCACACGAGGGCCACCCGCAAAGUCUGGGGCCAUUCCGAGUCCGGCGGACGAACUUCGCCCACGCCCCCCACCAAGGCUAUAGCCCACCCGUUUUUUGGCCAUUUUUCCGCUGGGGGGUCUUGGCGCCCCGACCUUCGGGGGCUAAUUUUUGGGCGCGGCUGUGCCCGUGGCCUAAUUUUUGGCACACGGAGGCCGCCCGCAAAGUCUGGGGCCAUUCCGAGUCCGGCGGACGAACUUCGCCCACGCCCCCCACCAAGGCUAUAGCCCACCCGUUUUUUUGACCAUUUUUCCGCUGGGGGGUCUUGGCACCUCCACCUUCGGGGGCUAAUUUUUGGGCGCGGCUGUGCCCGUGGCCUAUUUUUGGCACACGGAGGCCACCCGCAAAGUGUGGGGCCAUUCCGAGUCCGGCGGACGAAGUUCGCCCACGCCCCCCACCAAGGCUAUAGCCCACCCGUUUUUUGGCCAUUUUUCCGCUGGGGGGUCUUGGCACCUCCACCUUCGGGGGCUAAUUUUUGGGCCCGGCUGUGCCCGUGGCCUAUUUUUGGCACACGGAAGCUGCCCGCAAAGUCUGGGGCCAUUCCGAGUCCGGAGGACGAACUUCGCCCACGCCCCCCACCAAGGCUAUAGCCCACCCGUUUUUUGGCCAUUUUUCCGCUGGGGGGUCUUGGCACCUCCACCUUCGGGGGCUAAUUUUUGGGCCCGGCUGUGCACGUGGCCUAUUUUUGGCACACGGAGGCUGCCCGCAAAGUCUGGGGCCAUUCCGAGUCCGGCGGACGAAGUUCGCCCACGCCCCCCACCAAGGCUAUAGCCCACCCGUUUUUUGGCCAUUUUUCCGCUGGGGGGUCUUGGCACCUCCACCUUCGGGGGCUAAUUUUUGGGCGCGGCUGUGCCCGUGGCCUAUUUUUGGCACACGAGGGCCACCCGCAAAGUGUGGGGCCAUUCCGAGUCCGGCGGACGAAGUUCGCCCACGCCCCCCACCAAGGCUAUAGCCCACCCGUUUUUUGGCCAUUUUUCCGCUGGGGGGUCUUGGCACCUCCACCUUCGGGGGCUAAUUUUUGGGCCCGGCUGUGCACGUGGCCUAUUUUUGGCACACGGAGGCUGCCCGCAAAGUCUGGGGCCAUUCCGAGUCCGGCGGACGAAGUUCGCCCACGCCCCCCACCAAGGCUAUAGCCCACCCGUUUUUUGGCCAUUUUUCCGCUGGGGGGUCUUGGCACCUCCACCUUCGGGGGCUAAUUUUUGGGCCCGGCUGUGCCCGUGGCCUAUUUUUGGCACACGGAAGCUGCCCGCAAAGUCUGGGGCCAUUCCGAGUCCGGAGGACGAACUUCGCCCACGCCCCCCACCAAGGCUAUAGCCCACCCGUUUUUUGGCCAUUUUUCCGCUGGGGGGUCUUGGCACUUCCACCUUCGGGGGCUAAUUUUUGGGCGCGGCUGUGCCCGUGGCCUAUUUUUGGCACACGAGGGCCGCCCACAAAGUCUGGGGCCAUUCCGAGUCCGGCGGACGAACUUCGCCCACGCCCCCCACCAAGGCUAUAGCCCACCCAUUUUUUGGCCAUUUUUCCGCUGGGGGGUCUUCGCUCCCCGACCUUCGGGGGCUAAUUUUUGGGCGCGGCUGUGCCCGCGGCCUAUUUUUGGCACACGGAGGCCGCCCGCAAAGUCUGGGGCCAUUCCGAGUCCGGCGGACGAACUUCGCCCGCGCCCCCCACCAAGGCUAUAGCCCACCCGUUUUUUGGCCAUUUUUCCGCUGGGGGGUCUUGGCGCCCCGACCUUCGGGGGCUAAUUUUUGGGCGCGGCUGUGCCCGUGGCCUAUUUUUGGCACACGGAGGCCGCCCGCAAAGUCUGGGGCCAUUCCGAAUCCGGCGGACGAACUUCGCCCACGCCCCGACCAAGGCUAUAGCCCACCCGUUUUUUGGCCAUUUUUCCGCUGGGGGGUCUUGGCACCUCCACCUUCGGGGGCUAAUUUUGGGGCGCGGCUGUGCCCGUGGCCUAUUUUUGGCACACGAGGGCCACCCGCAAAGUCUGGGGCCAUUCCGAGUCCGGCGGACGAACUUCGCCCACGCCCCCCACCAAGGCUAUAGCCCACCCGUUUUUUGGCCAUUUUUCCGCUGGGGGGUCUUGGCAGCCCGACCUUCGGGGGCUAAUUUUUGGGCACGGCUGUGCCCGUGGUCUAUUUUUGGCACACGGAGGCCGCCCGCAAAGUCUGGGGCCAUUCCGAGUCCGGUGGACGAACUUCGCCCGCGCCCCCCACCAAGGCUAUAGCCCACCCGUUUUUUGGCCAUUUUUCCGCUGGGGGGACUUGGCGCCCCGACCUUCGGGGACUAAUUUUUGGGCGCGGCUGUGCCCGUGGCCUAUUUUUGGCACACGGAGGCCGCCCGCAAAGUCUGGGGCCAUUCCGAAUCCGGCGGACGAACUUCGCCCACGCCCCCCACCAAGGCUAUAGCCCACCCGUUUUUGUCCAUUUUCCGCUGGGGGGUCUUGGCACCUCCACCUUCGGGGGCUAAUUUUUGGGCGCGGCUGUGCCCGUGGCCUAUUUUUGGCACACGAGGGCCACCCGCAAAGUCUGGGGCCAUUCCGAGUCCGGCGGACGAACUUCGCCCACGCCCCCCACCAAGGCUAUAGCCCACCCGUUUUUUGGCCUUUUUUCCGCUGGGGGGUCUUGGCGCCCCGACCUUCGGGGGCUAAUUUUUGGGCGCGGCUGUGCCCGUGGCCUAAUUUUGGCACACGGAGGCUGCCCGCAAAGUCUGGGGCCAUUCCGAGUCCGGCGGACGAACUUCGCCCACGCCCCCCACCAAGGCUAUAGCCCACCCGUUUUUUGACCAUUUUUCCGCUGGGGGGUCUUGGCACCUCCACUUUCGGGGGCUAAUUUUUGGGCGCGGCUGUGCCCGUGGCUAUUUUUUGGCACACGAGGGCCACCCGCAAAGUGUGGGGCCAUUCCGAGUCCGGCGGACGAAGUUCGCCCACGCCCCCCACCAAGGCUAUAGCCCACCCGUUUUUUGGCCAUUUUUCCGCUGGGGGGUCUUGGCACCUCCACCUUCGGGGGCUAAUUUUUGGGCCCGGCUGUGCCCGUGGCCUAUUUUUGGCACACGGAGGCUGCCCGCAAAGUCUGGGGCCAUUCCGAGUCCGGCGGACGAACUUCGCCCACGCCCCCCACCAAGGCUAUAGCCCACCCGUUUUUUGGCCAUUUUUCCGCUGGGGGGUCUUGGCACCUCCACCUUCGGGGGCUAAUUUUUGGGCGCGGCUGUGCCCGUGGCCUAUUUUUGGCACACGAGGGCCGCCCACAAAGUCUGGGGCCAUUCCGAGUCCGGCGGAGGAACUUCGCCCACGCCCCCCACCAAGGCUAUAGCCCACCCAUUUUUUGGCCAUUUUUCCGCUGGGGGGUCUUCGCGCCCCGACCUUCGGGGGCUAAUUUUUGGGCGCGGCUGUGCCCGCGGCCUAUUUUUGGCACACGGAGGCCGCCCGCAAAGUCUGGGGCCAUUCCGAGUCCGGCGGACGAACUUCGCCCGCGCCCCCCACCAAGGCUAUAACCCACCCGUUUUUUGGCCAUUUUUCCGCUGGGGGGUCUUGGCGCCCCGACCUUCGGGGGCAAAUUUUUGGGCGCGGCUGUGCCCGUGGCCUAUUUUUGGCACACGGAGGCCGCCCGCAAAGUCUGGGGCCAUUCCGAAUCCGGCGGACGAACUUCGCCCACGCCCCGACCAAGGCUAUAGCCCACCCGUUUUUUGGCCAUUUUUCCGCUGGGGGGUCUUGGCACCUCCACCUUCGGGGGCUAAUUUUUGGGCGCGGCUGUGCCCGUGGCCUAUUUUUGGCACACGAGGGCCACCCGCAAAGUCUGGGGCCAUUCCGAGUCCGGCGGACGAACUUCGCCCACGCCCCCGACUAAGGCUAUAGCCCACCCGUUUUUUGGCCAUUUUUCCGCUGGGGGGUCUUGGCAGGCCGACCUUCGGGGGCUAAUUUUUGGGCACGGCUGUGCCCGUGGUCUAUUUUUGGCACACGGAGGCCGCCCGCAAAGUCUGGGGCCAUUCCGAGUCCGGCGGACGAACUUCGCCCGCGCCCCCCACCAAGGCUAUAGCCCACCCGUUUUUUGGCCAUUUUUCCGCUGGGGGGACUUGGCGCCCCGACCUUCGGGGACUAAUUUUUGGGCGCGGCUGUGCCCGUGGCCUAUUUUUGGCACACGGAGGCCGCCCGCAAAGUCUGGGGCCAUUCCGAAUCCGGCGGACGAACUUCGCCCACGCCCCCCACCAAGGCUAUAGCCCACCCGUUUUUUGUCCAUUUUUCCGCUGGGGGGUCUUGGCACCUCCACCUUCGGGGGCUAAUUUUUGGGCGCGGCUGUGCCCGUGGCCUAUUUUUGGCACACGAAGGCCACCCGCAAAGUCUGGGGCCAUUCCGAGUCCGGCGGACGAACUUCGCCCACGCCCCCCACCAAGGCUAUAGCCCACCCCUUUUUUGGCCAUUUUUCCGCUGGGGGGUCUUGGCACCUCCACCUUCGGGGGCUAAUUUUUGGGCGCGGCUGUGCCCGUGGCCUAUUUUUGGCACACGGAGGCCGCCCGCAAAGUCUGGGGCUAUUCCGAGUCCGGCGGACGAACUUCGACCUCGCCCCCCACCAAGGCUAUAGCCCACCCGUUUUUUGGCCAUUUUUCCGCUGGGAGGUCUUGGCACCUCCACCUUCGGGGGCUAAUUUUUGGGCGCGGCUCUGCCCGUGGCCUAUUUUUGGCACACGAGGGUCGCCUGCAAAGUCUGGGGCCAUUCCGAGUCCGGCGGACGAACUUCGCCCACGCCCCCCACCAAGGCUAUAGCCCACCCGUUUUUUGGCCAUUUUUCCGCUGGGGGGUCUUGGCGCCCCGACCUUCGGGGGCUAAUUUUUGGGCGCGGCUGUGUCCGUGGCCUAUUUUUGGCACACGGAGGCCGCCCGCAAAGUCUGGGGCCAUUCCGAGUCCGGCGGACGAACUUCGCCCACGCCCCCCACCAN
This 7233-nucleotide long non-coding RNA is filed under the name Citrus x clementina. RNAcentral describes it as "Citrus clementina (C. clementina) long non-coding RNA (CCLE_LNC002221)". The record is from RNAcentral. Lineage: Eukaryota; Viridiplantae; Streptophyta; Magnoliopsida; Sapindales; Rutaceae.